UAUAUGAAAUGAAAAAACACAAUUCGGUUGGUAGUCCGGAUGCAUCAUAAUAAAUGAAUGUCAGUAGCCUUCCCCUCCUCGGGAUGUCCAUCAUUUCGUAGUAUUUU
RNAcentral lists this non-coding RNA (107 nucleotides) under Priestia endophytica. Its description in RNAcentral is "Bacillus endophyticus Azaaromatic sequence". It matches the Rfam family "azaaromatic riboswitch aptamer (yjdF RNA)". Lineage: Bacteria; Bacillati; Bacillota; Bacilli; Caryophanales; Bacillaceae. The record is from Rfam by way of RNAcentral.